RNAcentral lists this ribosomal RNA (259 nucleotides) under uncultured bacterium. RNAcentral's name for it is "partial 16S ribosomal RNA". It matches the Rfam family "Bacterial small subunit ribosomal RNA", at positions 524 to 777 of the family's 1533-position model. The record is from RNAcentral.
UACAGAGAGUGCAAGCGUUAUUCGGAGUUACUGGGCGUAAAGAGCUCGUAGGUGGUUCUUCAAGUCUGAUGUGAAAUCCCUGGACUCAAUCCAGGAAGUGCAUUGGAUACUGCUGAACUAGAGUAUAGGAGAGGAAAGCGGAAUUCCAGGUGUAGAGGUGAAAAUUCGUUAGAGUAUCUGGAGGAACAACAGUGGCGAAGGCGGCUUUCUGGACUAUAAACGUGACACUGAGGAGCGAAAGCGUGGGGAGCAAACAGGA